UACGUAGGUGGCAAGCGUUGUCCGGAUUUACUGGGCGUAAAGGGUAUGCAGGCGGGUUUUUAAGUAGAAAGUGAAAUGUAGGAGCUCAACUCCUGCACUGCUUUCUAUACUGGGAGCCUUGAGUGUCGGAGAGGAAGAGGGAACUGCACGUGUAGCGGUGAUAUGCGUUGAGAUGUGCAGGAACACCAAUGGCGAAAGCACUCUUCUGGACGACCACUGACGCUGAGAUACGAAAGCCAAGGGAGCGAAC
RNAcentral lists this ribosomal RNA (250 nucleotides) under uncultured bacterium. Its description in RNAcentral is "partial 16S ribosomal RNA". It matches the Rfam family "Bacterial small subunit ribosomal RNA", at positions 524 to 773 of the family's 1533-position model. The record is from RNAcentral.